RNAcentral lists this ribosomal RNA (494 nucleotides) under uncultured bacterium. Its description in RNAcentral is "partial 16S ribosomal RNA". It matches the Rfam family "Bacterial small subunit ribosomal RNA", at positions 28 to 507 of the family's 1533-position model. The record is from RNAcentral.
GACGAACGCUGGCGGCGUGCUUAACACAUGCAAGUCGAACGGAAAGGCCUGCUUUCCCUUGUGGAUUGCGGGUACUCGAGUGGCGAACGGGUGAGUAACACGUGAGUGAUCUGCCCCCAACUUGGGUAUAAGCCUGGGAAACUGGGUCUAAUUCCCGAUAGGACUGCAGGGUGGUGCCUGUGGUGGAAAACGAUUUUCUAGUGGUUGGGGAUGAGCUCGCGGCCUAUCAGCUUGUUGGUGGGGUAAUGGCCUACCAAGGCGGCGACGGGUAGCCGGCCUGUGAGGGUGGACGGCCACAUUGGGACUGAGAUACGGCCCAGACUCCUACGGGAGGCAGCAGUGGGGAAUAUUGCACAAUGGGCGGAAGCCUGAUGCAGCGACGCCGCGUGGGGGAUGACGGCCUUCGGGUUGUAAACUCCUUGCGACCGCGAGGAAGCCACCUGGUUGGAAGGGUGGUGACGGUAGUGGUAGAAGAAGCACCGGCUAACUACGUG